GGGAGGCAGCAGUGGGGAAUAUUGGACAAUGGGCGAAAGCCUGAUCCAGCCAUGCCGCGUGAGUGAUGAAGGCCCUAGGGUUGUAAAGCUCUUUCACCGGUGAAGAUAAUGACGGUAGCCGGAGAAGAAGCCCCGGCUAACUUCGUGCCAGCAGCCGCGGUAAU
This 164-nucleotide ribosomal RNA is filed under the name uncultured bacterium. Its description in RNAcentral is "partial 16S ribosomal RNA". It matches the Rfam family "Bacterial small subunit ribosomal RNA", at positions 343 to 524 of the family's 1533-position model. The record is from RNAcentral.